Molecule: ribosomal RNA, 501 nt
Filed under: uncultured bacterium
Lineage: Bacteria
Description: bacterial SSU rRNA
Rfam family: Bacterial small subunit ribosomal RNA
Source: RNAcentral
AACGAACGCUGGCGGCGUGCUUAACACAUGCAAGUCGAACGUGAAAGGCUUCGGCCGAGUAAAGUGGCGCACGGGUGAGUAACGCGUGGGAAUCUACCCUAGAGCGGGGGACAACCCGGGGAAACCCGGGCUAAUACCGCAUACGUCCUACGGGAGAAAGAGGGCCUCUGCUUGCACGCUCUCACUCCAGGAUGAGCCCACGUCCGAUUAGCUAGUUGGUAGGGUAAAGGCCUACCAAGGCCACGAUCGGUAGCUGGUCUGAGAGGAUGAUCAGCCACACUGGGACUGAGACACGGCCCAGACUCCUACGGGAGGCAGCAGUGGGGAAUAUUGGACAAUGGGCGCAAGCCUGAUCCAGCAAUGCCGCGUGUGUGAAGAAGGCCUGCGGGUUGUAAAGCACUUUCAGUGGGAAGAACAGAUUCGGGUCAAUACCCCGGAGCCCUGACGUUACCCACAGAAGAAGCACCGGCUAACUCCGUGCCAGCAGCCGCGGUAAUGUGU